Molecule: ribosomal RNA, 207 nt
Filed under: uncultured bacterium
Lineage: Bacteria
Description: partial 16S ribosomal RNA
Rfam family: Bacterial small subunit ribosomal RNA
Source: RNAcentral
CGUGCAGGCGGUUCGGUAAGUUGGACGUGAAAGCUCCUGGCUUAACUGGGAGAGGCCGUUCAAUACUGCCGGACUUGAGGUUGGGAGAGGGACGUGGAAUUCCCGGUGUAGUGGUGGAAUGCGUAGAUAUCGGGAGGAACACCAGUGGCGAAGGCGGCGUCCUGGCCCACACCUGACGCUGAGACGCGAAAGCGUGGGUAGCGAACG